RNAcentral lists this unclassified non-coding RNA (392 nucleotides) under Hevea brasiliensis (rubber tree). Lineage: Eukaryota; Viridiplantae; Streptophyta; Magnoliopsida; Malpighiales; Euphorbiaceae. The record is from RNAcentral.
GUAUACUGUUGCAACACAAACUACUUAAAUUAAUAUCUUUUAGUACUUCCUAAGUUCCUAUCAAAAAUCUUCAGCCACAAUCUUGUAUCUGAAUUCUAUGACGUUCUAUUUAUUCACAGUAGCACUCCUUGGCUCCUCGCACCUCUAUAAAAUGUGCACUAAAGGAUUUUUGAGCACUAAAUGACACGAAAAUCAAUUGAAAAACCAAAUGAACUACAUCCCUUGAUCUAACAAGAACAUAGCUUGAUUAAUUCCAAUUCAGGCACACCUAGAUAUAUAUAUUCAGGACACCCAAUUAUUUUAAAACAUUACUAUUACAAAACCAAUGGCAAGGGAACCAACUUUCCUAAAAUCAUGACAUUUCUAACAGGCAAGAAGAGAAUUCACAUGAC